RNAcentral lists this long non-coding RNA (1278 nucleotides) under Chinchilla lanigera (long-tailed chinchilla). RNAcentral's name for it is "lncRNA (ENSCLAG00000026009.1)". The record is from RNAcentral. Lineage: Eukaryota; Metazoa; Chordata; Mammalia; Rodentia; Chinchillidae.
GAACAAUGUAAUUUCUUCAUCUGGAAUUAUGUAAUUUCUUCAUCUGGAACAAUGUAAUUUCUUCAUCUGGACCAACGUAAUUUCUUUGAUCUAGAAACAGCUAGUGAGUCAGGGUUAGCGGAAACGGAAAGGAUUGAUAUCUCAGAUGGAGAAUGGAUCCUGUUCCCACCAUUAGCCUAUCAGUUUUGUCGCUUCUCAUUCUAAAAUAUUCAUGAUUUAUAAAAAUAUUUGGGGGCAGUUUCUGAAGUAAACUGUAUCCUCUUCAAUGACACACUUGGACAUGUGAAAAACAGGCUUGUCUGGACGGCAGCAUAGCAGCAGUACCACACACACCAAGGCCUGGCCCACUCUGAAAAUGCUAAGCUGCCCUGUUGCCAUGGUAAUGAUGAUGGACACCUUGCCUUCCAUUUAAACUGUCACUCUGUGAGCUGAGAGCAGUUAUACCGUUACCACAGUGCUGAUGACGGUCCCUGGAGAUGGGAAACUGCUGUACAGGCUCUUGCCUCCUGGAUACAGAAAUAGUUCCUUCAAGGUCAAGACGAUCUAUUGCCCAUUCCAGCCAGUGCUGUGGAAGAGUUCACCUGUGGCUGCCAGAAAGUGCACACCCUGGACAGGACGAGGACAGAGAUUCUACCAAGGUCCUCAUGGAAGUUGUUCCCUUUGACACUGCAGAGGAUGAGAAACAAUCUAUCGCCAAGGUGGAGUCCCCAGCAAAUGGAAACUUUCCCUGCAACGUCUUGGUGGACUCGCUGCCUCCAGACAGAACAGAAGAGGACGACCCACUGAACGCCCUGGUGGACGCCAGAGGAACUAAAGACGGUCACAGCAUCACUGUCGUUGCCCUCGUUCACACGGACGCCAGUUUUCCAGAUUCUGAGGAUCAGACCCAGGGAGCAGCAACUGGUUCCAACACUAACACCAGUGCAGACUUGGACCUGGGGUCCAGCAGCUCAGAGGACCUGGAGCUGCCAGAGGGAUGGGGAAGGGCAGCCCUGCCCUGUGCCUCCCCUCCAUAGUCAUGGUUCACUACCUGUGUGUUAAAGAAUAGUUUUGCAAACAAGCUCUGCUGUUCGUGUUAGAUGCUUUACUUCGUAUAUGUUAAAUACUAUUUCAUGACAUGUAAUUACUGUUGGUUGUUUUAUAUUAAAUAAUAGUCUCCUGCUACCAGGUUCUUUGAAACUUCUUUCUGUAAAAUAUAUCAUAGCAAAAAAAAAAAAAUGCUCUAAACACAAGUAGAACUUCAUGGACUUUAAAGCAGUCACUUCAGUGACCCGUCAC